Molecule: ribosomal RNA, 482 nt
Filed under: uncultured bacterium
Lineage: Bacteria
Description: partial 16S ribosomal RNA
Rfam family: Bacterial small subunit ribosomal RNA
Source: RNAcentral
AUUGAACGCUGGCGGCAUGCCUUACACAUGCAAGUCGAACGGUAACGGGCCUUCGGGUGCCGACGAGUGGCGAACGGGUGAGUAAUACAUCGGAACGUGCCCGAUCGUGGGGGAUAACGAGGCGAAAGCUUUGCUAAUACCGCAUACGAUCUACGGAUGAAAGCAGGGGACCGCAAGGCCUUGCGCGGACGGAGCGGCCGAUGGCAGAUUAGGUAGUUGGUGGGAUAAAAGCUUACCAAGCCGACGAUCUGUAGCUGGUCUGAGAGGAUGAUCAGCCACACUGGGACUGAGACACGGCCCAGACUCCUACGGGAGGCAGCAGUGGGGAAUUUUGGACAAUGGGCGAAAGCCUGAUCCAGCCAUGCCGCGUGAAGGAUGAAGGCCUUCGGGUUGUAAACUGCUUUUGUACGGAACGAAAAGCCUUCUUUUAAUACAGGAGGGUCAUGACGGUACCGUAAGAAUAAGCACCGGCUAACUACGUG